Molecule: RNA transcript, 1662 nt
Organism: Danio aesculapii
Lineage: Eukaryota; Metazoa; Chordata; Actinopteri; Cypriniformes; Danionidae
Gene: znf414
Gene name: zinc finger protein 414
Exons: 8
Source: RefSeq, a predicted model, not a curated record
AUGAACGUAUCGCACGUAGCAGGGUUGGAAACGGGCUCUAGCUAGAUAACCACUUUGUGCAGAAUUAACGUAUUUUUUUCUUUAAAAUAGACUCUUUGCUUCGAGAAAUCCAUUUAUACAGCUGUGAUAUCGAGUUCAGGAUUAACUCCUGAAGCAGUCAUCAUGGAGGCCUGCCAAAUGUCCUGUUCGUUUUAUGGGUGCAAGAGGACCUACAAUAAUCCAGAAGCACUGAAUGCUCAUCUUCAGGACCAUCAGAAGAACACGGCUCAAUCUCUUCCAGGGAAAGCUUUCCUGUGUUCUCAAAUUGGAUGUGACGGCUCAUUUAACAACAUGCAGCAGCUCAUGGAGCAUAUGAGACACCACUACAAGCCAAAUUGCUUUUUUCUGUGUGAGAGCUGCAGGGCCAAGCUGCGUUCCUACCGCACUCUCCUCAAACACCUGCAGACCUGUGCUAAAGUUGCUAAAAACAAGGCUGCAGUAAAGACGGAGCCUGGACCGAUACUUGAUUCAGACCCCAAUGGUGUUUCCCUCACUGACAUGAUGGAUCCAUCUGGACCGCUCUUGGCCCCUAAUUUGAAAGAGGAGAUGGAUUCUAUGCCACUGCUAUCAACAAAUUCAACACUGGCAAACAUGCCAGUAACCCAGCAGUCUCCAGAAAAUGGUGCUUUCAUUAACCUUAUUUCAGGCCCUGCAUCUCUACCUGUUCCAACUCUAAAUCCUGCCCCAAGCCAAAACCUUCCCAGCCAACCAGAAUCCCCCUACAGCCCCUUUCCACCCACCCUGUCUCCAGUUAACCCAGUCUUCAUGGCGGAUCAGGGCCUUCAGCAGCAGCAGAGGUCUCCGAGGUCUGGUCCUCCCAGUCUGCCUGCUUCACCACCUCUGCCGUCUUCGCCAGGAUCAAACGCCGUCUGGAGGAAGAAUCAAGACCCGUCCGGGCCCCUUAUGCACAGAUGGAACUCUCCGAGCAGUCAGACUUUAAAUAGAGAUGAAGUCCAGGUCAGUCCUUCAACUGCCGGAUCCUAUGGGAGCACACAAGAGGGCGAUACAGUUGCCUACAAUGCGGCCACUGCACCCCAGACCGGGGGGAGAUGACUGCUCACAUUGAGGGCCAGCACAAAAACCCGGGAGGCAAGGCUAACAGCGAUCACGAUGCAGAGAUUGGCACUGCUGCUUUACUGGCGAAAACGUCAUUGCACUCUGAGAACUCGACAUACACGCAGCUCUAGCAUGAAUCAAGAUGCUAAACCUGCUAAUUUGCAAAGAACUUUUGAUGUUGUUCUUUAUACAGAGACAGAAAAAGGGUUUCCAUUUGAUCAACAGAGUGGACUUCAGGAUUCUCCAUGGUCUGGAUCUCUCACCAUCAUUAUUCAUAAGCGUGAUGUGCUGCAUGCCUUGUCUUUUGUUAGCAUUCAAGUCUAGGCUAAGAAAAUGCAAUGCUAGUUUUCACUGAAUAAUAUGUAAUGACAUAUGUAAUUUCAGUAAUGUAAUACCUACUUUGUUUUUUAUCAGAAGUCUGUAUCAACAAGAGAUUUUCUUCAAGACAAUUACAUCAUGGCUUCUUGUUAUUAUGUUAUAACAUUGUCAUAUUUACAGUUAAUUUGGGUUCAAUCAGUAAUAAAUUAUUUUGUUUGUAGACAAGUGUUUCUGUAGUGUUUACAGUUA